GUGAGAAUGGGAUUUGAACCCAGGACCCCAGCUGAUCCUGCUCUUUCUGGCACCCUUCUGUGCCCAAGGGUGGCCAAUUUGUCCCUCUGGGCCCCUGGGCUUCCCAUUUGUAGACCUGCACGUGUUUGUGCCCCUGUGGGAUGUGGGGGUGCAGAGGGCUGACUCAACACUCCACUUCCUCUGUCCACGUGAACAGGAAGGGCCAGGGCAGCCUGGAGCCCCUUCCUCCUUCUAAGGCCAGCCUCUGAAGGGACCGCUCCUUGUCCCUGUAGGCAGGGGAUGCUCCCAAAGUCUAGGGCCCUGUCAGUGUCCCUCUUGCCAGAUGGCCCUGGGCAGGGUCUGCCCCCUGCCAGGGUGUGCCCCAAACAGGACACUGGGCAGAAACCAGGAGGGGUGGUGAAGGGAGCCCCGUCCGCCCUGGCCCUGCCGAGGUGUCUGGCAAAGGUGGAGAGUCCAGCCCCAGCCAGGACAGGGCUCCCCUAGGUGGCGUGGAGCUGGCGCUGGGCCUCCCUGACCCAGGCCCUGCCCUGGCCCACCUAUCUGGUCACCAGCAUCGGACAGCAGGUGACACUCCAGGUCGCCCGCCAGGUAACCCAGCCGUCUCCAUGGAGCCCUGGCCGCAGGCCAGGGCCACUGCCGGGAGUAGAGGUCACCAGUGACUGCUCGGAGGCUCCUCUGACCCUCGGGCUCUCAGCACCAACAGGUUGGCGAGCGGCGGGCACCCAGGAGGCCCCAAGGACCCGCCCCGCUCCGGGAGAAGGCGGACGAGGCCCUGGGCUUAGACUUCUGGGCUGCUCCCGUACACAGCGGGUGCUCACUAAGUGCAGGUCGCCAAGGACCGCGGGCCGUGUCUCCCCUCAUCAGAAAACAACCAGGCACUUUCCGACCUCAGGGCCUCUGCUCAGUGGCUCCUCCGCUGGAUCACUGCCCCCGGAUUCUUGCCUCGGCCUCGGACCGCACCUCCUCCGUCUGGUUCAGGCUUCAUGAUUGCUUUAUUAGAAAGUUCUUUGCUUGCUGGGUGUGGUGCACGCCUGUGAUCCCAGCACUCUGGGAGGCUGAGGCAGGAGGAUCACAAGUUCAAGCCCAUCCUGGGCAAUUUAGCAACUUAGCAAGACCCUGUCUCAAAAUUAGAUAAAGGGCUGGGGAUGCAGCUCAGUGUGAGCCCUGGGUUCAAUCCCAGUACCGCAAAAAAACAAAAAUUUUGGCCGGGGAUGGAGCUCAGUGGUUUCACCGCCUGCUGCGCAAGCGCAAGGACCCGAGUUCGAUCCCCGGUACCAAAAAAAUAAAAAUAAAAUAAAAUAAAAAAUUUUUAUUUCUCUUUUGAAAACUGCUCACCGUCCAGUGCCCUCCUCCCUUGUCUUCCCUGAC
RNAcentral lists this long non-coding RNA (1368 nucleotides) under Heterocephalus glaber (naked mole-rat). RNAcentral describes it as "lncRNA (ENSHGLG00100050983.1)". The record is from RNAcentral. Lineage: Eukaryota; Metazoa; Chordata; Mammalia; Rodentia; Bathyergidae.